CAGUCGCCGCGGUAAUACGAACCGUGCGAACGUUAUUCGGAAUUACUGGGCUUAAAGCGCGUGUAGGCGGCUCGGCACGUCGGACGUUGAAAGCCCCCGACUCAACCGGGGAGGGGGCGCCGAUACGGCCGAGCUGGAGGGAGGUAGGGGGUCUGGAACUUCCGGUGGAGCGGUGAAAUGCGUUGAGAUCGGAAGGAACGCCCGUGGCGAAAGCGAGGCCCUGGACCUUUUCUGACGCUGAGACGCGAAAGCCAGGGGAGCGAACGGGAUUAGAUACCCCGGUAGUCCCUGUCUCUUAUAC
RNAcentral lists this ribosomal RNA (301 nucleotides) under uncultured bacterium. RNAcentral's name for it is "partial 16S ribosomal RNA". It matches the Rfam family "Bacterial small subunit ribosomal RNA", at positions 509 to 807 of the family's 1533-position model. The record is from RNAcentral.